UUAAUGCUAAUCGUGAUAGGGGUUUUUACCUCUGACUGACUCCUACAUAUUAGCAUUAACA
RNAcentral lists this microRNA precursor (61 nucleotides) under Columba livia (rock pigeon). RNAcentral's name for it is "Cli-Mir-155_pre stem-loop". It matches the Rfam family "mir-155 microRNA precursor family". Lineage: Eukaryota; Metazoa; Chordata; Aves; Columbiformes; Columbidae. The record is from RNAcentral.